AACGAACGCUGGCGGCGUGGAUUAGGCAUGCAAGUCGAACGGAGUAUCUAGCUUUUUCGGAUGCUUAGUGGCGAAAGGGUGAGUAACACGUGGGUAAUUUGCCCUAGGGAUUGGGAUAACCUGUCGAAAGAUGGGCUAAUACCGGAUACGUUCUGCUGUGAUUUCACAGCAGAGGAAAGAUGGGGAUUCGUAAGGACCUAUCGCCCUUGGAUAAGCCCGCGGCCUAUCAGCUUGUUGGUGAGGUAACGGCUCACCAAGGCUAAGACGGGUAGCUGGUCUGAGAGGAUGGUCAGCCACACUGGGACUGAGACACUGCCCAGACUCCUACGGGUGGCAG
This 337-nucleotide ribosomal RNA is filed under the name uncultured bacterium. RNAcentral describes it as "bacterial SSU rRNA". It matches the Rfam family "Bacterial small subunit ribosomal RNA", at positions 29 to 351 of the family's 1533-position model. The record is from RNAcentral.